RNAcentral lists this long non-coding RNA (1071 nucleotides) under Oryctolagus cuniculus (rabbit). RNAcentral describes it as "lncRNA (ENSOCUG00000036683.1)". The record is from RNAcentral. Lineage: Eukaryota; Metazoa; Chordata; Mammalia; Lagomorpha; Leporidae.
AUGAUCAACUGCCGUCUCUCCUCUGGACUGCAAAGUUUUGCACUGCGCAGAGUAGCGGAGGUCGCCACGAGGCUGCAUUGGGAACAGCGGGGACCUGAUGUCCCGGCCACCCCUUCCCCUCUGGGCCUCUCUGCAUGCAGCUCCUCCCACCUGGCAGGGCUGCUUGAGCUUCCUUACAGCAUGGACGCCGACCUUCCGGAAGCCACAUUCCAAUGGCUGUGCUUGUCCAUCUUUUGCUUGGGCGUGUCCUGUUGUUUGUGCACCACACCUGCCUGUGGCGCAUCGGUCAAAGCAAGUCACACGGCCAGACCCAAAGUCAGUGGCACAGGGGCCUCUGCCAGGGUGGGAUGGCAGAGAGGCUUGGUUCACUGGGGACUGCCCACGAUACCUUGCUUUUCUGCUGGCCUUCACAACAAGGGCCCGAGAAGCCCCUCUGUGGCUUGGGUUUGGCCGAUUCAGGUGACAACGUCUCGUGUUUUCUUUCUGCAGGUUUCCUCCUCUCUGCUUCCAAAGGAGCUUCAGCAGGAACUGCCAGCCGCUCUCCCGAGACCUGCAGGUGCACCUGCUUGGGGCCUCCCUGAGGGCUGCCUCCUUUUCUGCGAAGGCACCAGCACUGUCAUCAGGCUCUUGUCUUUCUAUUCAUGGGAAACUAGUUUACUCCCCUCUCCUCACUCCUUUGAAGACGUGGAAAUCCACAGACUUCAAGGCUACUUUUCUAAGCUAACGGUUGGUGGCAGCCCUUGGAUCUCAACGAGGCCUAUGAGCAAGGUUCUCCCUUACUCGCGGCUGCCGUGUGUUACUAUUGGUCCUCAAAUGGACCCAGGCCACUUGACCCAGAACCAGCACCACCGCAGCGUCAGCCACGCUCUCGGCACUGCCCUCUCACUCCCCUCCCACAGCUCCCUCCUCCUGGGGUCGGUACCUCUUGCCCAGAAGAGGAGAGCAGAGUACGUAGGUGGUUUAUUCAACAGCACAGAGCUACUGAGCGGGAGAACUAGGAGCAGAACCCCGACACUAGGUCUGCAGACCACCGUCCUCCCUUCUCGGAAGAGGCAGUGUGUGCUUUGGUAA